GGCCAUCUGAGUCCAUGCCAAGAUUUUGUCAGGCACAAGACCACCAGGGUUGAUGAGACUUCCAAGAUAAGUGACGUG
This 78-nucleotide microRNA precursor is filed under the name Schistosoma mattheei. RNAcentral describes it as "mir-3492 microRNA precursor family". It matches the Rfam family "mir-3492 microRNA precursor family". The record is from Rfam by way of RNAcentral. Lineage: Eukaryota; Metazoa; Platyhelminthes; Trematoda; Strigeidida; Schistosomatidae.